Molecule: non-coding RNA, 371 nt
Organism: Nicotiana tabacum (common tobacco)
Lineage: Eukaryota; Viridiplantae; Streptophyta; Magnoliopsida; Solanales; Solanaceae
Source: RefSeq, a predicted model, not a curated record
CUUUAUAAUUAUUAUUGUUUUACAGAGACAUCUACUGACAUAGACGAGGACUUCCCAAUCUAGAACUCGUGGAGUUGAUUGUACUGGAAAAGGUGGAGAUGAACCAACAUUGAUUACAGAUAUUUUCAGCCAUUAAUUUUAUAUUGUAAGGAUGAGCAUCUGCCAGGAGCCCGCCCUUAAUUUGUAUCAAUUGUACUGGUUGGUAUUAGUUAUGUACUUUAUUGUGUACAUGCAGUGGCUUGUGACCACUACAUGUGUAAAAUUUUACUACAACUUUACAUCAGUACUUUUGCAAUCUUAUACUAGUACUUGGUUUUAAUCACACUGUUGUAUUAGAUGUACAUGAAAGAUUGCCAUUUUCUUUGAUACCA